Molecule: long non-coding RNA, 1735 nt
Filed under: Malus domestica (apple)
Lineage: Eukaryota; Viridiplantae; Streptophyta; Magnoliopsida; Rosales; Rosaceae
Description: long non-coding RNA (MDOM_LNC009732)
Source: RNAcentral
UCCGUUUCCGCCCACAGCAAACAAACCUGAAAAACAGAGUCUCUCUGCGCACCCGUUCCCGACAAAAUCAAAACCAAACAUUGGGCACCUCUACCCUUGCUUCGGUCAUCUUACCCAUCCUUGUCUCCUAUUGUCUUUCCUCCCAUCCACUCCAUUUUCUUUCCUCCCAUCCAUCCACUCUCUGAGCACCCGUUCCCGACAAAAUCAAAACUAAACAUCGGGCCACCAAUCUUCCUUCACUCCUCUUCUCUCACGCACGACUCUUCCACCCCUCCUAUUCUCUUUUGCGAUUCUGCAGCUUGCAGGUCAGGCGUUGUCGGUCCCCUUAGGGCUAACUCUAUUUCAGCUUAUUGUUUUAAAUUGUUAUUCACUGUUUACUUUGCCAUUGCAUUUAUUAAAAUUGUCAUAGAUAUUUUUUCUAUCAUUAAUGCUCUCAUAGAUAUUUUAUAUUGGUUAGCUAACUAUUAGGGUUUCCUCUUAAGUUUCCUCUUAGGUCAUUUGUUGGUUUUGGGAAAGAAGAGCCUUUUAAUCAGGCCAAUUGGGUCCUCUUGGCAAUACAAUGUCGAAAGUUUUAAGUACGAGUCUGAUAGUUUUGGCAAGAUGCAAAUGGAUUGUGAUUGGGAAGGUAACCUAAUCCUAAUAUAUUUUUUGAAGCAAUUUACUUAUUUUCACUUUUCAGUUUAAUGUGUCAAAGAGUUUUCAAGUGUUAAUGAGGACCUUGAAAAGGUUAAUUACUAGUGCUUUAGUGGUACAAAAUGUAAACAUCACUUUGAGUGAUUAAUACAAACUUUGUACGUUUUCGUUUUGAAUGUUGAAGUUGAAAAUUGCUUUGGUUAGGAUACUAAAUUACUAAUAAGGUCGUACCCAGUGCACAAGGCUUCCGCUUUACGCAGGGUCUAGGAGAGGUGAAUGUCGGCUAGUCUUACCCCCAUUUAUGGAGAGGCUGCUCCCAAGUCUCGAACCCGAUACCUACCGCUCAUGGGCGAAGGCACUUGCCAUCGCAUCAAGUGCGACCUCUUGGAUACUAAAUUACUCUUGGAUACUAAAUUACUAAUAAUCAGAAAAAAACUUUGACUAAAAUUCUUUCUUGUUGUUUUCAUAUGCUGCUUCUGUGGUGGGUUUUGAAAUUUCAAUUGUGGUUGUGAAAUUCACUUCUCAGGAUAGUUGCAAUAAUGCCUAUUUUUUCUCUCAAAGCUCUUUCAGCUGAGUUGCCAGAAUCAAUGAUUGAAGCUCUCCAUGACGAGUCAGACAUUGGCUUGGUACACAACUCUCACUCUUUCCUGCUUUUAAUUUUGAUUGUUUAUUAACCGUGCUUUUUAUUUGCAAUUUGUUGCUGAAUUUUAUUUUGAUAAUUUGUGAAUUUUGUUUUAUUUUUUGUUUAGGGUUAUUGCUCACAAAUUCUCUUUAGGCCAAACAAUAAAGUUAGAAGAGCUACGGAUUUCCUUUUGAUUGGUUCCCCUCUGUUGAGUGCAAACGUGCUCUUAAUAUACUUGAAUUGAUUCUAUGUUAGUUACUUUUGUGGAAUUGUUUGUGCUCACAUUUAAGAAUGCGAUUGUAUUGCUACAGCAAUUUCAAUUAAGUUUUUAUAUGGAUAUUAUUCAUAUAGGUUGUCGAUUAUGGUUUGAAAACCCACAGCAAAGCGCGGGCAUUCCUGCUAGUAUCGUUCUAUUUUCCAAAUUAUGUACCCUAAUACAAUUAUGUAUUCUUUUUUCAAGUAUAAGUAGAAAUUUAUUUA